CUUAUCAAGAGUGGCGGAGGGACUAGGCCCUUUGAUGCCCGGCAACCUAGCGGUUUGCGCUUUGUAGCAAGCCCUAAAGGUGCUAAUUCCUACAGAGCAAUGCUUUGACAGAUGAGG
RNAcentral lists this non-coding RNA (117 nucleotides) under pig gut metagenome. Its description in RNAcentral is "SAM riboswitch (S box leader)". It matches the Rfam family "SAM riboswitch aptamer (S box leader)". Rfam says of the family: The SAM riboswitch is found upstream of a number of genes which code for proteins involved in methionine or cysteine biosynthesis in Gram-positive bacteria. The SAM riboswitch acts at the level of transcription termination control. The record is from RNAcentral.